GCGCUUUGCCCAGCUUGACAGGGAAAACCAGCCUGGACACCAAGUCUGUGUCAGAAGGCCACCUCAAGAGGAACAUCGUGGUGAAGACCGUGGAGAUGCGGGAUGGAGAGGGUACCCACCCAGAGACAUCUGGUAUCAUUUAACAAACAUAUUGAAGGACAACUGGUCUUCAGAGCUGAAGAGAGCUCCUAGGGGGAGAAGUUGGGACAACAGUGAAAUAAGUAGCAGCAGCAACGACAGAGGUGAAUGGUGACAAAGACUGCUGUGAUGAGCAGGUAGCCUAUCAGGGUGAGCUCCACAGCUGAGCGAGUCUCAGGAUCUGAGAACGAGGCUGGGUAGCGCCCACGAGAUAUCACACCCAGCCGGAAGCCAGCAACUAGCACACCCUGCCUCCAGCAAUAGUAGAUGCCCCGGUCAUCCAGCUGGGUGAAGCGGAUGUGGAGCUGGUUGCCGUGGUCAAUGAACACCCUCAUGGACCUGUUGACACCCUUCAGGGUACUAAGCAGCUCCGAACCAGCACCUCAGGCGUGUGGUCCCUGGCCUUGGUCCGCAGCUUCCUUGGCACAGCCCUUGAGCCACAAGACACCACAUCAGGCACGGCCUUGAGAACACUGGCGCUCACCCAAGAAUGGGUCAAAGGAAACCGGAAUGAGAAGGGCGGGCUGAGGUGCUCGGGCAGGGAGAUCUCUGCCUCAGUGCUCCAGGCCCUGCCCUGCCAGCCUGGUGGAAAAGUCUUUCAUCAACCUGGGGGAUGAAGGAAACCCACCCUCCUGCAUAUCUGGCCAUCCGGGAGGCUGGCUGGACCUGAGCUGAUGGCUUGGGCCUUUCCCAGGCCCAACCUGCACAAGAACUGAGUCUCUAGGGGAAAAUUCAACACCUCAAAUGAUGUAGUAUUUGAUCAUUUGUUGAUUACAUGUCCAUUCAUUGGUUUGGGGUUAUAAACAUUCUUGUUAAGAGCUGUGGAGAUCAGUGUUUGUUU
RNAcentral lists this small RNA (979 nucleotides) under Pan troglodytes (chimpanzee). RNAcentral's name for it is "processed transcript". The record is from RNAcentral. Lineage: Eukaryota; Metazoa; Chordata; Mammalia; Primates; Hominidae.